GGGAAAGUGGCUCAGUGGUAGAGUGCUUGCCUUGCAUGCAUGAGGCCCUGGGUUCAAUUCCACAGCACCACCU
Molecule: non-coding RNA, 73 nt
Organism: Dipodomys ordii (Ord's kangaroo rat)
Lineage: Eukaryota; Metazoa; Chordata; Mammalia; Rodentia; Heteromyidae
Source: Rfam